AAGAAACAGAUGAAAGAGUGGAAAGAAAAUCAGGAAAAGGCCAAGGCACGGGAUCAUCGCCGCAUUGGUAUCAAACAAGAACUUUUCAUGUUCCAUGAUUACUCUCCUGGUUCAUGUUUUUUCCUUCCUCACGGUACCCGCAUUUAUAAUAAACUUGUGGAUUUUAUUAAGAAACAGU
This 178-nucleotide non-coding RNA is filed under the name Corethron hystrix. The record is from RNAcentral. Lineage: Eukaryota; Bacillariophyta; Corethrophyceae; Corethrales; Corethraceae.